AGCUGAGAGGAGGUGCAUGGCCGUCGUCAGUUCGUACUGUGAAGCAUCCUGUUAAGUCAGGCAACGAGCGAGACCCACGCCAACAGUUGCCAGCAUGGUCUCCGGACUGAUGGGGACACUGUUGGGACCGCCUCUGCUAAAGAGGAGGAAGGAAUGGGCAACGGUAGGUCAGCAUGCCCCGAAUUAUCCGGGCUACACGCGGGCUACAAUGGGCAGGACAAUGGGUAUCGACACCGAAAGGUGAAGGCAAUCUCCUAAACCUGUCCUUAGUUCGGAUUGUGGGCUGCAACUCGCCCACAUGAAGCUGGAAUCCGUAGUAAUCGCGUUUCAAAAUAACGCGGUGAAUGUGUCCCUGCUCCUU
RNAcentral lists this ribosomal RNA (361 nucleotides) under uncultured Methanoculleus sp. Its description in RNAcentral is "bacterial SSU rRNA". It matches the Rfam family "Archaeal small subunit ribosomal RNA", at positions 978 to 1338 of the family's 1478-position model. Lineage: Archaea; Methanobacteriati; Methanobacteriota; Methanomicrobia; Methanomicrobiales; Methanomicrobiaceae. The record is from RNAcentral.